AUUGGAGAAGUUAAAGAGGUCUAACAAAGAGUCUAAAAUUCUUGAGAUGGGGGUUCGAUUCCUUCCUUCAGUG
RNAcentral lists this transfer RNA (73 nucleotides) under Amphiura digitula. RNAcentral's name for it is "tRNA-Leu". It matches the Rfam family "tRNA". Rfam says of the family: Transfer RNA (tRNA) molecules are approximately 80 nucleotides in length. Their secondary structure includes four short double-helical elements and three loops (D, anti-codon, and T loops). The record is from RNAcentral. Lineage: Eukaryota; Metazoa; Echinodermata; Ophiuroidea; Amphilepidida; Amphiuridae.